RNAcentral lists this ribosomal RNA (466 nucleotides) under uncultured bacterium. Its description in RNAcentral is "partial 16S ribosomal RNA". It matches the Rfam family "Bacterial small subunit ribosomal RNA", at positions 28 to 507 of the family's 1533-position model. The record is from RNAcentral.
GAUGAACGCUGGCGGCGUGCUUAACGCAUGCAAGUCGAACGAUGAAGCCCAGCUUGCUGGGUGGAUUAGUGGCGAACGGGUGAGUAACACGUGAGUAACCUGCCCUUGACUCUGGGAUAAGCCUGGGAAACUGGGUCUAAUACUGGAUAUGACUUCUCAUCGCAUGGUGGGGGGUGGAAAGAUUUAUUGGUCUUGGAUGGACUCGCGGCCUAUCAGCUUGUUGGUGAGGUAAUGGCUCACCAAGGCGACGACGGGUAGCCGGCCUGAGAGGGUGACCGGCCACACUGGGACUGAGACACGGCCCAGACUCCUACGGGAGGCAGCAGUGGGGAAUGUUGCACAAUGGGCGCAAGCCUGAUGCAGCGACGCCGCGUGAGGGAUGACGGCCUUCGGGUUGUAAACCUCUUUCAGUAGGGAAGAAGCGAGAGUGACGGUACCUGCAGAAGAAGCGCCGGCUAACUACGUG